RNAcentral lists this ribosomal RNA (506 nucleotides) under uncultured bacterium. Its description in RNAcentral is "partial 16S ribosomal RNA". It matches the Rfam family "Bacterial small subunit ribosomal RNA", at positions 29 to 523 of the family's 1533-position model. The record is from RNAcentral.
AGUGAACACUGGCGGUAGGCCUAACACAUGCAAGUCGAACGGCAGCACAGGAGAGCUUGCUCUCUGGGUGGCGAGUGGCGGACGGGUGAGGAAUACAUCGGAAUCUACUCUGUCGUGGGGGAUAACGUAGGGAAACUUACGCUAAUACCGCAUACGACCUACGGGUGAAAGCAGGGGACCUUCGGGCCUUGCGCGAUUGAAUGAGCCGAUGUCGGAUUAGCUAGUUGGCGGGGUAAAGGCUCACCAAGGCGACGAUCCGUAGCUGGUCUGAGGGGUUGAUCAUCCACACUGGGACUGAGACACGGUCCAGACUCCUACGGGAGGCAGCAGUGGGGAAUAUUGGACAAUGGGCGCAAGCCUGAUCCAGCCAUACCGCGUGGGUGAAGAAGGCCUUCGGGUUGUAAAGCCCUUUUGUUGGGAAAGAAAUCCAGCUGGCUAAUACCCGGUUGGGAUGACGGUACCCAAAGAAUAAGCACCGGCUAACUUCGUGCCAGCCGCCGCCGUAA